This 425-nucleotide ribosomal RNA is filed under the name uncultured bacterium. RNAcentral describes it as "partial 16S ribosomal RNA". It matches the Rfam family "Bacterial small subunit ribosomal RNA", at positions 354 to 796 of the family's 1533-position model. The record is from RNAcentral.
GUGGGGAAUCUUGCGCAAUGGGCGAAAGCCUGACGCAGCCAUGCCGCGUGAAUGAUGAAGGUCUUAGGAUUGUAAAAUUCUUUCACCGGGGACGAUAAUGACGGUACCCGGAGAAGAAGCUCCGGCUAACUUCGUGCCAGCAGCCGCGGUAAUACGAAGGGGGCUAGAGUUGCUCGGAAUUACUGGGCGUAAAGGGCGCGUAGGCGGACAGCUUAGUCAGAGGUGAAAGCCCAGGGCUCAACCUUGGAAUUGCCUUUGAUACUGGCUGUCUUGAGUUUGGGAGAGGUGAGUGGAACUCCGAGUGUAGAGGUGAAAUUCGUAGAUAUUCGGAAGAACACCAGUGGCGAAGGCGACUCACUGGCCCAAUACUGACGCUGAGGCGCGAAAGCGUGGGGAGCAAACAGGAUUAGAAACCCUGGUAGUCC